UUUGUUUUUAAGGUUGGGCAUGCACAGAUACGUUUCCCAUAUGUCAAAAUGGUGGACACCGUUAUCAUGGAUUCAAGCUUAUAUUAUCUGACGUUAAAUGUGGAGUCUGUUUUUGCCCUGAAGAAUACACCGGUAGAUACUGUCAUCUUUCUAAGAAAUUGGAGUGCGGUAAAUGUAAUGCAACGUUUUGCGACGAUUUGCCACCAUGUAACAACUCAACUGUACGCCCUUGCAGGGAAUCCAUUGAUUCAC
Magallana angulata is the source of this 252-nucleotide long non-coding RNA. RefSeq lists it as uncharacterized. The record is from RefSeq and is a predicted model, not a curated record. NCBI's taxonomy places the organism in Eukaryota, Metazoa, Mollusca, Bivalvia, Ostreida, Ostreidae. The transcript has 3 exons.